GGUGAGGUGUCCGAGUGGCCGAAGGAGCACGCUUGGAAAGCGUGUAAGUCGUAAGGCUUCGAGGGUUCGAAUCCCUCCCUCACCGCCA
Molecule: transfer RNA, 88 nt
Filed under: SAR86 cluster bacterium
Lineage: Bacteria; Pseudomonadati; Pseudomonadota; Gammaproteobacteria
Description: tRNA-Ser
Rfam family: tRNA
About the family: Transfer RNA (tRNA) molecules are approximately 80 nucleotides in length. Their secondary structure includes four short double-helical elements and three loops (D, anti-codon, and T loops). Further hydrogen bonds mediate the characteristic L-shaped molecular structure. tRNAs have two regions of fundamental functional importance: the anti-codon, which is responsible for specific mRNA codon recognition, and the 3' end, to which the tRNAs corresponding amino acid is attached (by aminoacyl-tRNA synthetases). tRNAs cope with the degeneracy of the genetic code in two manners: having more than one tRNA (with a specific anti-codon) for a particular amino acid; and 'wobble' base-pairing, i.e. permitting non-standard base-pairing at the 3rd anti-codon position.
Source: RNAcentral